AGUAAAAUGGCUGAUUUUAAGGUGAUAAAUUGUAAAUUUAUUAAUGAGGUAUCUCUUUUACUA
This 63-nucleotide transfer RNA is filed under the name Carios vespertilionis. RNAcentral's name for it is "tRNA-Tyr". The record is from RNAcentral. Lineage: Eukaryota; Metazoa; Arthropoda; Arachnida; Ixodida; Argasidae.